CCUACGGGCGGCAGCAGUGAGGAAUAUUGGUCAAUGGACGCAAGUCUGAACCAGCCAUGCCGCGUGCAGGAAGACGGCUCUAUGAGUUGUAAACUGCUUUUGUACGAGGGUAAACGCAGAUACGCGUAUCUGUCUGAAAGUACCGUACGAAUAAGGAUCGGCUAACUCCGUGCCAGCAGCCGCGGUAAUAUGGAGGGUUCAAGCGUUAUCCGGAUUUAUUGGGUUUAAAGGGUGCGUAGGCGGUCGGUUAAGCUAGAGGUGAAAUCCCGAGGCUCAACUAUGGAAUUGCCUCUGAAACUGGUCGGCUAGAGAGUAGUUGCGGUAUGCGGAAUGUGUGGUGUAGCGGUGAAAUGCUUAGAGAUCAUACAGAACACCGAUUGCGAAGGCAGCUUAC
RNAcentral lists this ribosomal RNA (394 nucleotides) under uncultured bacterium. RNAcentral's name for it is "partial 16S ribosomal RNA". It matches the Rfam family "Bacterial small subunit ribosomal RNA", at positions 338 to 729 of the family's 1533-position model. The record is from RNAcentral.